CUAAGUCAGCCCCGAGGAAAAGAAAUCAACCGACGAUUCCCCCAGUAGCGGCGAGGCGAACGGGAGGAGACCCAGAACCUGAAUCGGCUUGUGUGUUAGUGGAAGCGUCUGGAAAGUCGCGCAGCAAAGGGUGAUAGCCCCGUACACUAAAUGCACAGGUCGUGAGUUCGAUGAGUAGGGCGGGACACGUGACAUCCUGUCUGAAUAUGGGGGGACCAUCCUCCAAGGCUAAAUACUCCUGACUGACCGAUAGUGAACCAGUACCGUGAGGGAAAGGCGAAAGAACCCCGGCGAGGGGAGUGAAAUAGAACCUGAAA
Molecule: ribosomal RNA, 317 nt
Filed under: Serratia nematodiphila DZ0503SBS1
Lineage: Bacteria; Pseudomonadati; Pseudomonadota; Gammaproteobacteria; Enterobacterales; Yersiniaceae
Description: bacterial LSU rRNA
Rfam family: Bacterial large subunit ribosomal RNA
Source: RNAcentral